Molecule: long non-coding RNA, 2183 nt
Organism: Myotis daubentonii (Daubenton's bat)
Lineage: Eukaryota; Metazoa; Chordata; Mammalia; Chiroptera; Vespertilionidae
Exons: 2
Source: RefSeq, a predicted model, not a curated record
GAAGAGGAAGUCGGGACUGGGGUGCGGGUGGGUGCGCCUAGGGCCGCUGGGCUCGUUGCCUCCGCCGCCGCCGCCGCCUCUGCGGCCGCGUCAGAACUGAAGGGAGGAAGGGGAGGAGCCGAGUGGAGCCCGAGCGGCAGCCCGAUCUCACCCCGACCCGAGGGCGGCACAGAGGGCUGGCUCUCUAGUGGUUUCCUUCGGGGCAGGUGGUGACUGCUCCUUGGGGAGCCCGGAGGAGGGAGGCCCGGGCCGCGCGGCCACGCUCGGGCGCGCACCCCCUGAAGGUGAGGCCUCGGGCCCCAAACAGGCCUUGGAGGAGCUGUCCCACUGCCCGAUCCGCGCGCUGCACCUGUUCCAGGGAGCGAGCGCCCCACCCUUCCGCGGUGUGCGGCGCGCCCCAGCGCCCGAGAACGCGGAGUCGGCCCGAGUAGAUGUGUAGUGAGUGAAUGAAUGAAUGAACGAAUGAACGAAACGAACGAACGAAGGCGCGAACACUCGCGGAGCUCAGGGGAGUGGACGGAGUGCUGGCGCUUUGCUAACUACCCAGCAUUGUAACGAUGGGAGACUCACAGAGAAUCAGACCAUCAAAACACAUGGCUACAAAACAAAUCUUUUAUGGUUUUCCCUGUCUUCCUGAUUUCCUGAUGGAAAUUGAAGGAAUAAGAUGCACAGAUUUAGGGGAUUUUGUGAGGCUGGGCACCUCAGAUUUUAGUUCUGAGAGGUUUUUAUAAUAUUUUUCUCCCAUUGGUUUUAGAGAGAAGAGAGAGAGAGAGAAGCAUCGAUUGGUUGCCUCCCAUACACGCCCUGAGCCUGACCCCGGAUCCAACACCAUCUAUGAACCCCCCACCUAGGUAAGUGCCCUGACCAGAAUUGAACCUGCCACCUUCCGGUGUACUGGACAAUGCUCCAACCAACUGAGCCACACCGGCCAGGGCAGUUCUGUGGGUUUUGAAUAAAAAGGGUGCAACCUAGUCAAGUACACCUCAAGGAAAGUGUGUACCAGGUGGACUUUUUCAGCAGCCUGAUCUUAGAACCGUAGUGCUGAAGACAGAAUGGCACCCCGGAGAGCCCUCCGCCACCCACCACCUACAACCUACAUCAAAAGAACCAGCUGCACUAAACUUACUGGAAAAGAUCCACCCACCUCACCACCCAGCAUGAUAACCAGAGGAAACAGCUGGAACUGGCGACUGGAAAAGAGGAAGUUCAUACAUAGCCAACUUGGUCUGCAACUUUUUAGUUCUUUUAUUUUUUUAUUUUUAUUGAUUAAUCCAAAGGACAAAACAGCUAGUUUUCAAAAUUCAAAAAACUUUGGAGUUUUAGGUAAUAAUUGUUUUCCUGGUCCAUCAAUUUGUUUCUGAUAGAGAUUUGCUUUCUAUGUUAAAAUAUGACAACGGGGUAUUUUUCUCCUAUACUUGAAAGUGAGCUCUUAUGGGGAAUUAAUCAGUGUUUUAUUAGCCCACAUCAGUGGUUUUACUAUUAAAGAUUUCUUAAGUAAAUUGGCAAAAUUUCUUUCUUCAAAUACCAUUUACAGUAUUUGGUUUCUUUUAGAAUUUUUAUUGUGAAAUAUACAUUACAAUGCAUAAAGCAGUUACUCAGUAUAAUGAGUAACUAUAAAGUAAACCUUCAUGUGACCAACCAGAUAAAGAAAUGGAACAUUGCCAGCACCCCAAAAUCCCCCUGUUGACCUUCCUGAACACAACUCAUCCCCUCUUUUUCAGAGGUAACCCUUAUUCUAUCUUCUGUGAUAAGUAUUUCCUUGCUUUUCUCUAUUGUUUUAUCACAAACAUGCAUCCCUAAACAAUAUAUCAUUUGGUUUUGUCCUUUCUUUUGAACUUUAUGAAAUGGAAAACCCUAAUAUGUAAUCUAUUAUUCUGGUACUUACCGCUUUAGCUCAACAUUGUUUUUAAUCCAUAUGUUGUUCAGGUUGUUCAUAUAGCUUUAAUUUGUUCAUUUUAAUUGCUGAAUAUUACAGUGUUCCAUUGUAGUAUAUGCCAUGAUUUACUUAACCAUUCUAUUGUUGAUAGAUAUCUGGAUUGUUUCUAGUUUGGAAGGAACUGCUAUACCUGCUGCUGUGAACAUUCUUCCCAUGUAUUCUAUCAUGCCUAUAUCAGUUUCUGUAUAGUAUAUACCUGGAAGUGGAUGUGCAUAUCAUAAACUUGAAUAAAUAAUGCCAAGCUGUU